AUGACUAAUAAAGUAACAAUGAACAGUUAAUGGAACUCGAUUCAAAUUAUUUCAGUACCAUUAUGCAUUUUAGCAAAACGUAAUCGCAAUGAAGAAUUUUUCAAGGAAACACCAAUAGAUUUUUGCGAUGCACUCAAUUAAAGGAAAUGACUCUGAUACGUUAUCAACUUACUACCUCCAACUGGAUAUUGUAUUUCCAUUGGGCACAAUGGAAUUAUUUUGACAUAAUAUAAUAAUAAAAAAAUUAGCUUAUUAUAAUAA
Long non-coding RNA from Acyrthosiphon pisum (pea aphid), 261 nucleotides. RefSeq lists it as uncharacterized. The record is from RefSeq and is a predicted model, not a curated record. NCBI's taxonomy places the organism in Eukaryota, Metazoa, Arthropoda, Insecta, Hemiptera, Aphididae. The transcript is spliced from 4 exons.